AGGGGGGGGGGGGUGGCCUAAUACAUGGCAAGGUCGGAACGCUUUGUGGUUCAACUGAUUUGAAGAGCUUGCUCAGAUAUGACGAUGGACAUUGCAAAGAGUGGCGAACGGGUGAGUAACACGUGGGAAACCUACCUCUUAGCAGGGGAUAACAUUUGGAAACAGAUGCUAAUACCGUAUAACAAUGACAACCGCAUGGUUGUUAUUUAAAAGAUGGUUCUGCUAUCACUAAGAGAUGGUCCCGCGGUGCAUUAGCUAGUUGGUAAGGUAAUGGCUUACCAAGGCGAUGAUGCAUAGCCGAGUUGAGAGACUGAUCGGCCACAAUGGGACUGAGACACGGCCCAUACUCCUACGGGAGGCAGCAGUAGGGAAUCUUCCACAAUGGGCGAAAGCCUGAUGGAGCAACGCCGCGUGUGUGAUGAAGGGUUUCGGCUCGUAAAACACUGUUGUAAGAGAAGAAUGACAUUGAGAGUAACUGUUCAAUGUGUGACGGUAUCUUACCAGAAAGGAACGGCUAAAUACGUGCCAGCAGCCGCGGUAAUACGUAUGUUCCAAGCGUUAUCCGGAUUUAUUGGGCGUAAAGCGAGCGCAGACGGUUAUUUAAGUCUGAAGUGAAAGCCCUCAGCUCAACUGAGGAAUUGCUUUGGAAACUGGAUGACUUGAGUGCAGUAGAGGAAAGUGGAACUCCAUGUGUAGCGGUGAAAUGCGUAGAUAUAUGGAAGAACACCAGUGGCGAAGGCGGCUUUCUGGACUGUAACUGACGUUGAGGCUCGAAAGUGUGGGUAGCAAACAGGAUUAGAUACCCUGGUAGUCCACACCGUAAACGAUGAGUGCUAGGUGUUUGAGGGUUUCCGCCCUUAAGUGCCGCAGCUAACGCAUUAAGCACUCCGCCUGGGGAGUACGACCGCAAGGUUGAAACUCAAAGGAAUUGACGGGGACCCGCACAAGCGGUGGAGCAUGUGGUUUAAUUCGAAGCAACGCGAAGAACCUUACCAGGUCUUGACAUCCCUUGACAACUCCAGAGAUGGAGCGUUCCCUUCGGGGACAAGGUGACAGGUGGUGCAUGGUUGUCGUCAGCUCGUGUCGUGAGAUGUUGGGUUAAGUCCCGCAACGAGCGCAACCCUUAUUACUAGUUGCCAGCAUUCAGUUGGGCACUCUAGUGAGACUGCCGGUGACAAACCGGAGGAAGGUGGGGAUGACGUCAAAUCAUCAUGCCCCUUAUGACCUGGGCUACACACGUGCUACAAUGGCGUAUACAACGAGUUGCCAACCCGCGAGGGUGAGCUAAUCUCUUAAAGUACGUCUCAGUUCGGAUUGUAGGCUGCAACUCGCCUACAUGAAGUCGGAAUCGCUAGUAAUCGCGGAUCAGCACGCCGCGGUGAAUACGUUCCCGGGUCUUGUACACACCGCCCGUCACACCAUGAGAGUUUGUAACACCCAAAGCCGGUGGGGUAACCUUCGGGAGCCAGCCGUCUAAAGGGUGGACCGAG
Molecule: ribosomal RNA, 1490 nt
Filed under: Weissella confusa
Lineage: Bacteria; Bacillati; Bacillota; Bacilli; Lactobacillales; Lactobacillaceae
Description: bacterial SSU rRNA
Rfam family: Bacterial small subunit ribosomal RNA
Source: RNAcentral